AGGCUUGCUGGGAGCUGGAGCCGGAACAAGAGCUGGUGGAGCUGCCAAUGGAGCUGGUGGAGGAACAGCGGGAGGAGGGGUUGCUGGUGGAGGAGUAGCAGGUGGUGGGGUUGCUGGUGGAGGUGUUGCUGGUGGAGGGGUGGCGGGAGGAGGAGUUGCUGGUGGUGGGGUUGCGGGAGGAGGGGUGGCAGGUGGAGGGGUGGCAGGUGGCGGGGCUGAAACUGGAGGAGGGGUAGCUGGAGGUGGAGAUUGGGUAACGGGAGGUGGGGCUGAAACUGGUGGAGGAGUGGUUGCUGGUGGUGGGGAAGAAAUUGGUGUGGGUGGUGCUGGUGUUGCUGUUGGUGACGUUGCUGGUGCUUGACCAGCAACACCAGCAAUCGAAAUGCAAAUCAAAGAAAGAAGGAUGACAGCUUUUUUUAGCAUCAUUUUGUCUAGUUUUGAUACUCUCUCUCUCUCUCUCUCUCUGCUCUUUGCGUGCAGUCCUGACCAGUGAGGAAAUAGAGAAAGGAAGGGAGGAUUAUAAAUAGAGUGGAAGGAAGAAGGUUCGGAAGUUCGAGAGCUAUUGGUGGGGCCAAUGAGCUACCAAACAGAUCUGAGGCGUCGAUUAUGUUGUUUGAUGUGGGACCAGCAGAGCAUGUGAUUUGGAUAUGAGAUCUGGGUGACACGUCAGUAGCAGUCAGCCAGCCUUUUUUUCUAAAAAAAAAAGAAGAAGAAUUGUUAGUCACUCUUUUAGUUGUGUAUUAAUGAUGAAUUUGGGUUAGCUUAGGGGGUUGUCCUCUCCUCUCUGUGGGCGGAGUGAAAAUGGUAGAGUCGGACAUUAACAUGAUUAAAAAAAUCAUGAUUAUUAAUGAUUCUGUUGGAAUGAUUUUAUUUUGUCCUUAGAAAUGGCCAUGCAUUUGUCAACCACUUCCAAAUUAGAGCUCAAUAUCGGUUUCAAUAGUUCAGAUUAAAUAAAAAACCGCAAUAAAAUAAGUCUUUUUUCAAUUUUAAAUGAAAAUAAAGUAAAUAAAAAAAUCAUACUAAUUGGUUCAGUCUAGUUUUAUAUUUUAAGAGAUCGAAUAUAUCUACUUUAAUUCAUGAAACUUUUUCCUAGAUUAUUUUUCCUAGAUUUUAAUCUAAUGAAUCUUUAGCUUGUAAUGAGUUUUUUUUUUUCAAUUUAAUUUUUAAAAUCUAAAAUCAAAACCAAACAAAAUUGUUUUUUUAAUAAAAAAAUUAUAAUUAAACUGAUCUAAAAAUCUAAAAAAACAUUUGAUUCAGUUAAUUUUAAAUAAAAAACAGAGUUAAGGAAGUAAAAUAAAAUUAAUCCAUAUAUGGAUGAAAUUGUCACUAAACAAAUCAAUUUUACAAAAUCAACUCGGCAGAUAUUCUUUAUUCUCCCAAAAUAUAUAAAUUCAUUUUCAACAAGAUCAACUGGAAUUGCAUGGUGAUUUCUUCAAGGCUCAACUACAUGAAAACGUUGGAUGACUCGGUGAGUUCAGGUUAAUUGAAUACAGUUCAUCCAUACUCGUUUGUAAGAAAUCUAAACGAUGAUAUGAAUAGCAUAUAAGUAGAUCCAGCUCCCACUGCGAAGUCCCUCCAGCUUUUUUCAACAAUAAAGUUUCACGCAAAAUCAGGCACAUCGAUAGUUCCUAGUCUUGUUCAUACAAUAAAUGUUAAAGAUUUUAAGUUUGAUUUAUACUUUAAAUAUUUUAAUUAUACUUGUUUUUAAGAUGUCAUUUUAUCAAUUCACUAACUAGUUGGUUGAUACAUGAAUUGACUCGCAUUUCUUGAAUUAAUCUUAAAAUCCAACUCGACAACUGUGAAAAUGAGAGGUAUUCUACUAGUCAAGAAUAAUGAGCGAUCCUUUUUACCGAAGAAGCAACAGGAGGAUUAUGGUUAGUGGGCCCUGCCCUCAAAUGAGCUGGCCCUUAAUCAUAGCAUUGCCAUCGGAUUGGCACUGGCAGAUGUAUAUUUUACGCUUAAGUUUUGGCUGUAAUCUGCCAAAUUUUAGUUGGGGUGUUGGAGCACCGCCAUUGUGUGGUGGCCCUUGCUGUGCUAGCUGUCUCGCCGUGACAGGCGCUCUUUAGGGAGCCUGGAGGCUAAAUAAUCCUUGCCAGUUCGUCGUUGAGUUUGAAUAAUAAACACAAAAUUAGGCCUGGAGACAUGAAAAUUAUGCAGAAAAAAACGAUGAUAACGAGUAAAACUUCCAACAAGUUCCAGCUACAUGUGUUGCCGCUAGCCUGUAACCAGUUCUGGUUUUUUUUUUUUUUUUUUUUUUUGGGGGGGGGGGUCCUGACUCCUAAGCUUGUUGAGUGUGAGGGAUCAUUAAACUGGGUUCACGUGUCUCAUCCAGACUGGUUAGAAUUUGGAAAGGAAACGGUAGAUGGAUGACCUUUGCUUAUAAUCCAAUCCUCCGUUAGAUUUUCUUUAUUUUUUUUCUUCUUUUUUUGGUAUAAAGAUAAAAGAAGAUGUUCGUUUUCAUAAGAUCCCAAGAAACUCCUCUGCAGUAUUAUGAUUACUAAUAGCUUAAUCAAGGGUUCUGUUUUUAUUGACCUGUCACCAUCACCAUCACCAUCUCCAUCGCCAAGGUCCAGCCUGUAGGUUUGUAGUUAUCUUUCGCAACAAGCGUUUAAUUAUAGGCUGAUAGUCCCUUUCGUUGUAUGUUUCUUUUUUGUUUGGAGAUUGAUGGUCGGAGUCGGAGAAUGCCACGGUAAAGUAUGGACAUGCAUUGUCCUACUUAAAAAAUAAUAAUAAAAAAAAUCUUAAUUAUAUGCAUAGGCCUGGCGAUCCGAUUAGGAUGUUUUGCUUGAAAUUGUGUCGUACUGACUUUUAUUUUGAAAACAAUAUCAAUUACCUAGCUGAUGAAUUUGGAUUUUAUCGGUAAGAUUAUAUAUAUAUAUAUAUAUAUAUUUUUUUUUUUUUCCUUAAAAAAAAACUUUAGAUAAAAAAAAUACACAAGUAUAUUUUUCUCAAAUUAACAUACAUGUUGGGUUGGUACACAUCGACCCCAAAUACCCCUACAACAAGUGUGUUGUGACAGUACGCCAGGCCUAUCAGCAUGGCUUGACGCUCUUCCAGGUCAACAAGGUGGCCCUGACACCCAUCUCUCGCGAGUGUCGAGCCCAAGACUUUUUGCCAUUUUAUCCCGGACAUGGUUAGACACUCAUUGUUUGCCUUGGUCUAAAACGUGACUGGACCCAUUACAUUUAUUGAUUCAAACAUAAUACUUGAAUCUAACACCACGUCUCUACAUAUUUUACAUAAAUAUUAGAUGAAUUAUUUUUUAAAAAAUAGACUUAAUUAAACAAGUAUACAGUUCACCAAUACCAUUUGGUGUAUUAAAAUCUCUCAUGACCCAAUAUGUCUCAAUCUCUUAGCUAGAUAGAACGAGUAAAACACAACUUAUAAUAUAAAUUUGAUUUAUAAGGGUGGAAUGAUGACUCUCUCAUUCUUCCAUUGAAGCAAAAUGACAAGGUUUAGGGGUUAUAAAUACCCUCUAAACUAAACAAGUAAUGGUUCAUAAUCUUUUUAUUAUUAAUAUUUUUAGUAUAUAUGUUUUUAGAGUUCAUCUCUCUAAAAUAUUAUUGUAUUUUUUUUUUAAAAAUACUUGAAUAUUUGAGAGUUUUCAAAUCUAUAAAUUUGUUUUUUAGAGGUAUCCACCAUCUUGACCUACCAGACACCAAGUACAACCACCAACCACAUUUACUAGGGAGAAUAGAUCAAAUUAUUAUAACUAAGAGAUUAACUAGUUAUUUAAAAUAUAAUAUUUUUUUUUAAACUAUUUGCAUUUUCCAGGACAUCAUCAAUAACGGAAUUUCUUCCGAACAUUUUAUUAUAGAAAAACAAAAUCUUAAGUAGGUUGACAUGAUUUUUCAUUGAUAUAUAUCUUCUGGGCAUGAAUGGUUAAGACUUAAGAGAUGAAAAGUAAUUAUAUAUAACAUGAAUUUCAUUGUAUUUGCAUAUUUGGCACCGAGAAACUGGUCAAACGAUUAAUAAUUACACUGUUUUCCAGGUUUUAAAAGUCCAAAAUCAGGUAAGAUUACUGAGAUUGCGAGGAGUAAAGUUUUCACGAAUCUUAAAAUCUUGACAUAAUUGAUCCAUACGUGAAAAUCAAUCAAGAGACAUCACUUUGACAAAAAACAAAAAGAAAUAUAAAGAGAAAAAAAAAAAGAUAUCCCACGCAAAAAAGAGAGAAGAUUCUUCCACUUAUGCAGUGAUGAAGCAGUAAUUUAGGUGGUUGAUUAUUCUCAACGCAAAAAAAAGCACCGACUGAGUGGGCAUUCCAUAGAAACUGAAAUUGAUAUAUUGCCAGUACCUAGCCCUUCCAAUCUAUGUUAAACAAUGUGACAAUUAAUGGCUUCUUCUUCAAUCCUUUAUGAUCUUAGCAUUGUCCACAUGUAUCACAGUGCCAUUACAACACCUGUCAAGGAUUUGCCUUCUCAACUCCCUCCAUAAUUCAAUCUCCAACAACACCCUCAUUUUUUUUAGAGUACCUUUCAGUUGUUAACAUACACGUUUCCCCUCGCAUUUUACACGACAAUUAUCAAACAAGAUUACUCUCUGGAAUCUUGAUUUUCUUGGUCCGAUCGAAUUGAAAACAUUACUAUAUAUAACAGGUACGGUUCACGAGGACAAAUCAUACGAAAGGUAGGUCCAAAGUCCAUGUAAACGAGAGUAAAGUAAAAGGGAACGUGGACUGUGGGGGGGCCAAGUUAGUUUGGCGAUCAUUUCCUGCAAUGUGAAUGAUUGUAACUUGCUAUCCUCCUCUUGUUGGCCCUUUAGUUUCUUUUCCUUGAGGUUAAAUUGACCUCCUUCCUACCUCUUAAUUAAUCCUAGGCUGACUUUAUGAUAACGUGGUUUCAACUGCAAGCCGGGAAAGGUUUUGCUAGGGCAAACAGUCAGACCAUAACAACACUAAUCAUUCAUGGAGGGACUGUAUUUUGGUUUGGCUUCAUCACUAUAUUAAAUUAAGUUGUAACAGUAUAUUCCACUUUCGUCGUGGACAGGCCUUUCCCUUUUACGAGAAGAGAAGAUAAGAAAACCAUACAUUUAUUAGAGAGAAAUACCCUUUUUUUAGCUGUUGUAUUUGUGCUAGAAAGUUAAUUGGUGCCAUGUGUUUUUAUUGUGAUCAAUUUGGCUAAAAUGCGACGUGAUACAUUCCAGACGACGGCGUCAACGAGCCUUCCUCGUCAAUUGGCUUAAUUUGAUCAAUUCUUGAGAGCUGGUUAGCAGCAUGCAGAAGGUCUUGGAUGGAUGUUCUGAACAGUUCAAGAUAGCUAGCUGAGCUUGUCCCUGGGGAAAGAUAAAUUAUAUUCUCGGACAAAAUAAAAAAAAGCCACACAAGUUGACUUCUCAAGACAAUUAUUACGGGAAAAAGAGAUUCUACUCUUUUUAUCAGACAAAGCUGUCCAAACAAUAAUUCAAUACUUUUAAUUUUAUAUGCUUUUUUCCCUUCAUGUCUAAGUCGGGUUAACGAAUAAUUAUUACGUAAUGAAAUUUCACUAGUACCAUUAUAUGGAAAAGAAAAGAAAUACAAUAGAAUAUUGGGUAAUUUUACACGGUGUCUCUGUGCAUGUCAAUAUGUAAGUAGUUAAUUUGACCGCGAGACUCUAUCAUAGUUGCUGUCUCUGUCUCUUGUCGUGAGAUGUUAGAACAUUUGCAUCAUGGACUUUGCAGGUGGCACAUCUUAUCUUCGCCAAAACCCUCAGCCACACCUCCGUCACCUAAAGCCCAUGUCAGAGAAUGAAAUGAAAGCUAAAACCUAAUUCUGAAACCCAGAUCCACUACUUAUUCCCAGGUCUACCAUUGCAUAUAUUGGCCUUUUCUAUAUCUCCUUAGCCCAACCCAACUCCUCCAUCCCCAUCCUCAAACUGCCCAAAUUUCUGGUGGAUGUCUGUCUCUGUCAUAUCACCACACCGGGACACUCUGGACCCAACAAAAAUGGAACGAUCUGUUUUUUUUAUACUACUUGACCCAGGCAGGGGCAUUCAAGUAUUUAAAAAAUCGUGAAAAAGUUAUAGAAUAGUACGCCAGGAUUAAGGCGGGAUCAGACAAAUUCUGUGUUUCUCACUCACACAAAACCCAAAAAACCCUUAUCUCUCUUCGCAUUCUCUCAAAACACCAAAAUUUAAAAGGAAAAAAAUAAAAAAUCAAGCUAAUUCAAAACCCUCCCCCUCUCUCAGAAACACAAAAUUCUCGAUUUUUUUCUUUUUUCAAAUGGCAAUUUCUUCAGGGAUUUUCUCUACUUUCCUAUCCACCGAAACGGUGCCGCUUCUCAAGUUUCCUUCUCUUACAUCCACACCUCCUCUCAGGUUUCUGGCUGCGCCUCCCGCGAACCCGCGCAUGGCGCGUAGUACUGUAGUUACCUGCGCCACGGCAUCGACCGGAAACCGUGCUCCACGAGGCAUAAUGAAGCCGAGGCGAGUCUCACCUGAAAUGGCGGACUUUGUUGGUGCUCCUGAGGUCUCUCGUACUCAGGCUCUCAAGCUUAUAUGGGCCCAUAUUAAGGAGCAAAAUCUUCAGGUAUAAUUUUUGUUAGAAGUCGACAUUUUGUUCUAAAAUCUUGGGUUCCUGUCAUUUCCUGUGCUUAAUUUUUAGUUAAACGUUUGGAUAAGGUUGUUUUGGGACGGUAAAAUGUGGUUGUUUUUAUUCAUGGGUUUUUAUGCUGUUGAUUAUUUAAUUGAUUAGCUGGAGACGUGUCAUGUUUGUGGAUAAGGUUGUGCUGGUGUCAGCGAAAUGUUCCAGUUCUGUUGUUUUUUUAAGUGGGUUAUGCGGUUAUUGUAUUUUAGUUCUGAAAAUGUAAUAUGUUUUAUGCGUUGUUUCUUUUGUGGGUUUGGAUAAUGUUAUGAGGCUGCUGGAUAAUUGUGGGUUCUUGAGUAUUGUUUGUUUGCUGCUCGUGUAAUUGAAUGGUGUUAUACUUGGAUAUGUUUGUUCCAUGUAGUUUUUUAUUCUUGCAUGGCCUGCUCUUUAUUGCUGUGAAUUCGUUGAUGCAUGAACAAGGUGUCUCUCAUGUUAGGGAUAGAUUUCAUCACUAUAAUUUUUGUUGAGACAUGAUUUUAUAUAGAAUUUGGGCUGAGACAUGAUUCUGUAGGUAGUUCAAGUUUGAGAAACAAUUCAGAAUAAUUUCAAAUUUGUAAUACAUGAAUGUGGUAUGCACUGCUUUGUUGAUACGACCACAUGCAGUAUGUUUAUAUGAAUGUGGCUUAAUUAGAGGUACUGGAUUUUACUAACCUGAAAAUUGCAAGGCAGCGCUUACAAACUUGAGGUUCAACACGAAGACUGGCUGUUGGCUUGUCAUUUCCAAGCAGCUAUCGGUCUUUACUAUUAGGGUUAGCUUCCAGCUGAAUAAUUUGGUUGAAACAAAAAGCAUGAUUGGUGUUUGAGUAAUGGAUACAAUGUUCACUUAAUUAUCGUUUUACUUCAACCUUUAGAACAUUUGCUAGUCCAUCUGCUGGUGCGGUCACUUCCCUUUAUUUGUUGCGUGGUGUAAUUACUAAUUUGGUGCUAACUCUUUUCUUAAAAUGCAGUAGUAUUGCUCCUCUAGUUCGUCAUGUUUGCAUGAAUCUGGUGUUUGUUUUUCUAGCUGUUUCUGAGCCAUUGCAUAGAACAUCCAUGGUGUACUCAUAUAUGGUUAUCUCAUUAAUUUGGAGCUGACUUGACUUGCUGUGUUUUUAGGACCCUAGUAACAAGAAGAUCAUAAUUUGUGACGAGAAGUUGAAGAAGAUAUUUGCUGGUAAAGACCAGGUUGGAUUUCUUGAGAUUGCUGGGUUGAUUAGUCCUCAUUUCCUCAAAUGAAGUUCAAGAUAAUGGAUCCAGUCUUCGUGGUCAUCUUUCCCGUGGCAGGGCUAUCUUUUUUGUUGAUGACAAUAGUCAAAAUUAUGCCUGGUGCUUUCGGCAGCUUGUGUUUUUAGUCUUAAUUAGCAGUACUUACGUGCAGAACUAGCUUUGUUAAGAAUUUUGCUUAUGGAGCCCUUAAAUAGUACGAUUUUCAAAAUGAUAUUACAACUUUCUGCCAGUUUAUGCUUCUGUUGAUGAAUCUCAAAUUUUGAUUGAAUCUUGUAUGCAGCUGUGGUUCUGGCAAUAUUUUCAUAUUGGGUGCAUGCUGCAUAAAACAGGCUCUUGGUAUGAUUUUAGAUAGUUUUGAUCUAACAGAAAAACUUAUCUCAAAUGAUCAUGGAAGCAGUCGUAUUAAGCCGCCCGUUGCCUGCACUUACCUACCUUAAUUACGAACUAGAGUUGUUGAAAUGAUUUUUGGUAAUUGAGCAUCUCUGGAAAGGCCUCCGGAGUUGGACUCAUAAGUCAUAACGAGUUCUUGCACAGAACUCCCCCAAAAUGGGAGUGCGUGAGGGCACUAGUAAUAGCAGAAAAGGGAACUUUAUUGAAGAAUAUUUGGUUGCAGAAACAAGAAAGAAGUGGAACGCAGUUCUAAUCUAAUCCUCGCUUCUGGGUCUCCUAAUUUUCUAUGGAAUCUUUGCACGGUCAUUCCUGCAACGGGAAACACAAAUUAGAUCAGCGAAUUCCAUAUCACCACAUGUACGGCAUUAGCUUUUGAACUCCGCAAGAUUGGAGAGAGACUUUUAAACUCGAAAUUCCCAUAGAGAGUUUGAUAUUAGGGUAGCUUGAAAUAAUUUUUGUUUUUUAUAUGGAUUCUAUAUAUAAUUAUAUUUUAAAUAUUAAUUUUGUUUAAAUUACAAUAAUAUAUUUUUUAUUUAUUUUACAUGAAAAAGUUUAUCAUAUCAAUCUUAAACAAACUCAUAUUUUUUAAUUUAUUUAUUUUAAUCCGCAACUAUUCCUCUUUCAACUCCCUAGAAAAAUUUCAAUCAUAAUGUUUAGUUCUUUGUCAAUUUCUUUACUCCUCCGAAGCAGAGAGUCACCUUUUGCUGACAUGGCAAGCUCUAUCUGUUCGCCAGAGAUUCUUGUCUGCUACCAUGGCAAUCUCCACUACUCACUCACCACGUAGGAUUGAAACCCUCCUCCCCUCUCAAACAUCCCCUCUCUCUAAGAAUCUCAACUUGAAACACCACACAAAAAAAUCUCUACUUUCUCAAGUCAAAAACACCACACAAACUCAACUAAAGAAACCAACUUUUAUAAUCCUUAAACCCGCCCAAAGCCCUCCCAAAGCCUCUCACUCUAAAAAUGACAGAGAAACUAGCUCUCCCUCUUCUCCUCACAAACCCACCCCCAACAAAACUCUUACUGCCUCUCCAAUCUCACCUCCACCAACAACAGCUAAAACUAACAACACCCACUUCACCACCACCACAACAUGGCACCCCACCUAUGCAAGACUUCCUUUUCAAGCAAAGCCCCAAUCUUUCCAAACCCACCAACCCGCCAACCCAACCUGAUCCAUUUCCUAUCCCAAGAAACCGAACCCGAAUUGGCAAGGCCCGUGACCCUAACCGUGGUAAACCCUGGACCCACCGUCGUCUCUCCCUUCAAGGUCAGCGAGUUCUAGAUUCUUUAAAUGACCCUUCUUUCGAAACCAGUGAAUUAGAUAAAAUUUUGAGUCUUUUAUUUGAUUACUACAAAGAAGAGUUGAGUUUAAGUAGUGGUGGUAAGGAGAGGUUAAGUAAUGAUGUUUUGGGUAUUAUUAAGGGUUUAGGGUUUUAUAAAAAAAGUGACCUGGCUAUGAGUGUGUUUGAGUGGUUUAAGAAUAGGAAUGAUUGUGAAUCUGUCUUGAGUAAUUCAGCUGUGGCUGUGAUUAUUAAUAUGCUUGGUAAAGAAGGAAAAGUUUCGGUGGCAGCAUCUUUGUUGAAUAAUUUGCAUAAAGAUGGGUUUGAACCUGAUGUUUAUGCGUAUACAUCUUUAAUAACUGCUUGUGUUAGUAAUGGGAGGUAUAGGGAAGCUGUGAUGGUUUUUAAGAAGAUGGAGGAAGAAGGGUGCAAACCAACUUUGAUUACUUAUAAUGUGAUUCUGAAUGUGUAUGGAAAAAUGGGCAUGCCUUGGAACAAGAUUAUAGGUCUGUUUGAGGGAAUGAAGAAUGCUGGGAUUUUGCCGGAUGAGUAUACAUAUAAUACGCUGAUAACUUGUUGUAGACGAGGAUCUUUGUAUGAAGAAGCUGCUGCGGUUUUUGAGGAUAUGAAAUCGAUGGGGUUUGUGCCUGAUAAGGUCACUUAUAAUACUUUAUUGGAUGUUUAUGGGAAGUCUAGGCGGAUUAAGGAGGCGAUUGAGGUAUUAAGAGAAAUGGAGGUCAAUGGAUGUUCACCAAGCAUUGUGACAUAUAAUUCGUUGAUAUCUGCUUAUGCAAGGGAUGGUCUGUUGGAAGAAGCAAUGGAGCUUAAAAACCAGAUGGUUGAAAGAGGGAUUAAACUGGAUGUUUUUACUUACACUGCAAUGUUGUCAGGAUUUGUGAGGACUGGUAAGGAUGAGUCUGCAAUGAGGGUUUUUGAGGAAAUGAGAACUGCAGGUUGCAAACCUAAUAUUUGUACUUUCAAUGCCUUGAUUAAGAUGCAUGGUAACAGGGGAAAGUUUGCAGAAAUGAUGAAGGUUUUUGAGGAGAUCAAAAUUUGCUGCUGUGUACCAGAUAUUGUUACUUGGAAUACCCUUCUAGCAGUGUUUGGGCAAAAUGGGAUGGACUCAGAAGUGUCUGGAGUUUUCAAGGAGAUGAAGAGGGUUGGCUUUGUACCAGAGAGGGAUACCUACAACACCCUAAUCAGUGCGUACAGUCGGUGUGGUUCAUUUGACCAAGCCAUGGCUAUGUACAAGAGAAUGCUGGAAGCUGGGAUUACACCUGAUCUUUCCACCUACAAUGCUGUUUUGGCAGCAUUAGCUCGAGGAGGGCUAUGGGAACAGUCAGAGAAAAUACUUGCUGAAAUGCAAGAUGGCAUGUGCAAGCCCAAUGAACUGACACACUGUUCUUUGCUUCAUGCUUAUGCCAAUGGCAAGGAGAUUGGACGGAUGCUUGCUCUUGCGGAGGAGAUAUGCUCUGGUGUAAUUGAACCUCAUGCUGUGCUCUUGAAGACCCUUGUUUUAGUUAAUAGUAAAUGUGACCUCCUAUUAGAAGCUGAGCGUGCAUUCCUAGAGUUGAAGAGAAAAGGCUUUUCACCUGACUUGAGUACUCUGAAUGCCAUGAUUGCUAUUUACGGCAGGAGGCAGAUGGUUACCAAAACAAAUGAGUUCUUGAACUUCAUGAAAGAGAGUGGGUUCACUCCUAGCUUGGCAACUUACAAUAGUUUGAUGUAUAUGCACAGCCAAUCAGAGAACUUUGAGAGGUCAGAAGAAGUUUUAAAAGAAAUCUUUGCAAAGGGAAUAAAACCAGAUAUAAUUUCAUACAACACCGUUAUUUUUGCGUAUUGUCGAAAUGGGCGGAUGAAAGAGGCUUCACGUAUAUUCUCAGAAAUGAGAGAAUCUGGGCUUAUUCCAGAUGUAAUCACAUAUAAUACUUUUGUUGCAAGUUAUGCAGCUGAUUCAAUGUUUGAGGAGGCUAUUGAUGUUGUUUGCUACAUGAUCAAGCAUGGAUGUAAACCGAACCAGAAUACAUACAACUCAGUCAUUGAUGGAUACUGUAAACUUAAUCGCCGGGACGAUGCAAUCAAGUUCAUAAGCAGCCUUCAUGAGCUUGAUCCACACAUUUCCAGGGAGGAAGAGUGCAGGUUAUUAGAGCGUUUAACCAAAUGGUCAUAGGCAAUCCCUUUCUUAUAUGUCUCAUGUUUUGAUUAGGCAUGAAGAUGUGGUUAAUAUGGAUGAUCCAGCAAAAGCUUCCUAAUGUUUCCUGGAGGCUGAAGAGAUGCAAGCACUCAGGAACACAUCUAUUUGGAAGGCGGUGCUUGGAUCCAGAUAAGACAUGAAAAGAAGGGGAAAGGGGAGUUAUUGACUUCAAGGUAUGAGUACCUCUAUCAAAUGUGAGUGAUUUUGUACCAUUAGCAUUUGGUGGUUAUGAGAAUCAAAAUUUUGAAAAUUUUCUCUGCAACAUGUUAUCAUUGUGAUUAAUAACUUGAUUCUCUUAAUGUACAAGAAGAAGGCAUUUUUAUUAUAUUUACUUGAGAAGAAAAUUGUUUCUCUGUAACUAUGGAAUUGGGAUGGAUAUCCUCAUUUUGUUCUUAUGGGCCAUAUAGAUUAAAAGUAUUGUUUUGUUAGUUGAACUUGGUUUUGAAUCUCUUGCCAAAGCAUUUCCUGGCCUCACCCUAUCUUACCCUUUUCCUGAGUAUGAGGAGUUAUUUAUUUUGACAAAAUUUUACUGUCGUUGGAAAGGUGGCCUUUAAUUUUCAUUGCUAAGAUGUGAUUUUUCAUGUAAUGUUGUUAGGUUCUUGAGCUUCGAACCAUGUGGUAAAGAAAGAAGGAAGAAUGAAUGGUUUGUCCAGGAGAGUUGCUAAUUGGCCAUUUCUUAGCUGAUGAUACGUGAUCUUACAUAAAGUUCUGGCUUCUGGCGAUAUAUACUGAAAGUUGCUAAAGGUGUGUACAAUGUAUAUAUUGUAGCUGUAACAAAAAGUAAAAAGCUAUAUAUAAAUGCCGAGUUAAUGAAUAGCUAUGCCCUAAAGAUCACGAUAAUGUGGCUUUUGAACUCCAUUUGUUAGUUUUGUGAAGCUCAGUUAUACUCGAAACCAGAAACAUGAAAGCCAACAGUGUGUUUCAGCGGUCCACUGGACUGUUCUAUCUUCAAGAAUGAUUAUGAAAAACAGAAACGUUGUUAAUGAGGAGAAACUUAUAUAGGAGUAAUUGUCUAUCAUCAUCCUUGUAUUCCUGGUUGAACUUCAUGUGUGUUUGGCUCGUUUCGUGUCGCGGUAGUUUUUACCAUCACAGUUUGAAAAAAUAGCUUCAAGCAUGGCCAAAGUUUUAAAAGAGAGUUUAUAGUGAAAUUCACUAUGAUAUAUCGAGUAAUUAAACAUUUUUAAAAUUGUGAUUAGGACAAAACAUAGUUUCAAUCAGUACAUUAGCAAUCAAUCCUUCAUACAUUUGUCACCAUCCUGUAAUUUAUUUGAUGUAUUAUCAAUGACAAGUCCUUAAAAUUCAUCCUUACUAGGAACAACAUCGUAAGUUUCAUGUCUACUUCAAACAACUUGCUUAAUGGCUGGCUUAAAAUAUUUGCCAAAACCAUAUUUCAUUUCUUACUGUGAUUUUCUCUGCAUAAAGCAAAGGAUUUUGAACUUCAAUCUUCCAAGCUGGCCUGGGUCCUAAUCUAGAGGUACUAUAUUUUUCCAUGGUUAUUCACUAGAGAAAAGUAAUUAGCUCAUAGAAACAGAGUCUCUGUCUUCCUUGGUGACAUGAUUUAAGCAUUAGACCUCAGAGUUAACAGGGUUGCACGCUAAAAAUUCCAAGUUAAAACCCGUCAUUACAAUAGUCGGAUGACAGCUCCCUAGGUCUGAUACUAACUUGUCAUUCAGAGUUGGAUAGAAAUAGCAUAAAAUACAUUAUUUUGAAUCAAGUAAUGAAUUUCACUCAUUUUGCUAAAAAGUUUUAACACAAAUGCUAAUCCAUCCACAGUUCCGCUGCCUGUUCAUAUGAAUGGCGUCCUCCGCAACUCAAAUUAGCUCCUAUCUUCAGAGAUGCAAUAAUCUGACGUGGCUGUCGAUUUCAUAGCUUUGUUUUAUCAAGUAUGGGUCCAGACAAACCAUAAUAGUAUUAGUUCCAACUCCAUGGUUUAGUUAUUAUAAGAACCCUGUUUAAGUAGGGAUCACGUUAGGCUGAGAAUGAUGAUUUAGGCUCCAAACACCAGAAAACAGUUGUCAGAACUCCCUUUUUUCUAUGGUUUAACUUUCAAUGUGACAAUGAACUAAUAAAGCGUACAAGGUAAACAAAAUGCCUAUUUAGUAAUUACCAAAACCCCAAUAACAAGGAUAGAAGCACCAUGAUAUAAACAAGGUGUUUCAAUAAAUAAACUGAAUUUUUAGGUCCAUUUACACAUUUCCACGACGUAAUUACUCAUCUUUGACUCUCUAAUCUCCCUCUUCUUGCAAGCACUUCUCUCCAUCCUUCUCUCUUAUUUGCAAAAUCAGAAAACACAAUCACAUUGAGUUGGUGGUGGGCAGGAGCCAUAGGUGCCGCAAAGACAUUUUUUUUUUUAUAAAAAAACUCAAUUUAUUCCUCUUCAUAUUACAUUUCCUGUUAUGUAAUUAUAGGUGAGCUAAUAAUUUUUAUUUGAUCAAACAAAACGGAACAAAACUUUAGAGGAUGGUGAUGCACCGCCAAAAUACCAAAGCGUGGCCCUCAUAAUAGGUGCCACAGGCAUUGUAAGCAGCGGCUUGUGAUGUCUUGAACGAUGCAUAAACCCAUUGAAAAACUCUCAAAACUCACAGAUGUAACCCACAUCUUUUACGUUGCCUGGGCUAGCAAGUCUACAGAAGCUGAAAACUGCAUUUUUAACAGCACCAUUUUACAUAACGUGCUUAAAGCUGUAAUCCCUAACACUCCAAACUUGCAGCACAUUUGCUUGCAAACAGGACGCAAGCAUUAUUUGGGUUCUUUUGAGUCUUGUUUAAGGUUCAGCUCUCAUGACCCUCCAUUACAUGAGGAUCUUCCAAGGCUAAAUUCAUUGAGUUUUUAUCAAAGGAUGUUUUGUUUAAUAAGGUUCAGAGGAAGGGGGGUUUGAAAUGGUCUGUUCAUAGGCCUGGAGCUAUAUUUGGGUUUUCUCCGGCUUGUUUGUUGAAUAUGGCGAGCACUCUGAGUGCUUACGCCACCAUAAGCAAGUAUGAGGGGCUUCCAUUGAUGUUUCCAGUAGCACUAGUUCAUUUAGGAGCUCUAGUUUCCUGAAACAGAUCCCAGCCGGUGGUUAUUUUUAGCUGCUGUCGCAACUUCAAUCCUUCUUCUUGUUGUAUUAAUGGACAUACUGAUGAGCGAGCAGUGUGUUACUUGGCACUUUAGCCAUCAAAAUACAGGCAAAGCAAGAGCAACAUGAGACAAGGGAGAUGCAGUUCAAUGGGACAUGAUUAACAAAACAAAAGGGAUUUAGAGCCUUUGCCAAGCAUUUUCAGAAAUCCUCAAAGGAUGUUCAUCCCAACAUUUUGUAAGCCUUCCAGGUUACACCAGUUUUUGGGAACGUGAUGAGAAGACGACAUUUUCAUAAUGUUUUGCAAGCUUGUAAUCCAGUUAUUUUUCUAUUGUGGGGGUGCCGGAAACAACCACCAAGUAGAUUCUUCUCGGUCAGCAGCUUUGUACCCCGAUACCAGGCUAGAGUCUAGAUCUGGCUCUUUCCAUUCCCAACAAACCCCAUCGUUUACUUAUCACGCCACAGGAAGGCUGAAAUGUUGAAAUAGCUAUUUGGGUUACAUAGUUGGAGAACAUGUCACAUUGAACUACCGAGACAGCAGAUCACUAAUACAAUUCAAAUCAACUGGCAUUAGCAUGCAUUUGGGAAAAUUUCAAAUGUGGCCCUUACACAUCUGCUGAACAUGUAACAUUGAACUAUUCAUGGAUAACAUCAGUGAUUCAAAUCGUCUCUGAUUAGUGAUGCUUUUGAGACAAUUUUCAAAGUGGGGCUAGACAUUAUUUGCUUAACAUGUAAAAUUGAUCCGUUCAUUAAUAGCAUUGAUGAUUCACUGUGCAUUGCAUACUUCAUGAACAUCUAAUCUAAUGAAAAUGAAAGAAAAAGAAACUCAACAUGACUAAAGAUGUGAAGAUCUAUUGUAUGCAAUAGAACAACAACUACCAAGUAUAAAACAACAUUGGUGGGGCAUAAACAUCGUGCAAGUUCAAUGGUUGUCCUUUUUAGGAUUGCACCUGAUAGCAUGCAACAUUUAAGAUAUUUUAAGCAUCAUUUCAAGUCAAGGUGCAAAUAUUACCAAAAGAUGAGACCGUGGAAACAAGUUAGAUUCUUGAGUUUACAAUGACAACACAAGAAUGACACAAAUUUAAUGUAAUCCAUGAAUGCCGACAGGGAAUGGCACUUUCUAUAAAUCAAGAUCAAAAUGAAAUGAAAUGUGGUGCCAGAGUCUCCUAAAUCUAAGUUAUACUAAAGCCUGUUUGAUCUUGACUGAAAUGUACAUAAUCGUUUGCAGCACCAGAGCCAGAGUUCCGAGUAUGGCCAUCGUUGCAUCAGUAAAGGAUCAAAGCUAAUGUUGCAUCGCUUGUUGAGAAGUAGACCUGAUUAUCGAAUUCUGAAAGAUUUUGAGGUACAGUAAGUUGCAAAGCUCAACCGAAUUAGUGAUGUAUUAUUUCAUCUCCUGGAAGUAGCUGUAGAAUUUCAUUGCUGGUAGUUGCUUCCAAAGUCAGAAGCCUACGAAAUUAAUAAAAACUUUUGCCACGAUUCUCUUGGACCAUACCUCUUCUUUUUUAAAGUCAUACCCCUUCCAUCUCCACAUGUUAUAGUUUGAUGAGUAAGAGAGCCAGUUGCUCAUCGGACACUUUAACAUCAAUGAACGCUCCUAAUGCUGCUGCAAGUCUUGCAGCUAAUUGAUGCUUACACUGAAAUGGAUUCAAGAAAUGAAAGAGUUAAUCAUAAAACAUUAUAGAAAAGUGGUUUCAACAAACUGAAAUGAUAAAUAAGAAAAAAAAAAAAGGAACUCUUACACAAAGUUGUUCUCCUCUGUUGACAAUGUCAUAAAAAAAUGAAUAACAGGCACAAUAGUGUUCAGGAAAACAGAAAUACUCCUCCUUCCUCCGUGAUUCUCCCACCACCUAACAACACCAGCAAACAAGAAAUUAUUUUACCAAAUGAGUUCUUAAAUGAUCAAAUCUUAAUCUUUACUUCUAUCUUUUUAAACGAAACAUAUUUAAUCCUAUUUAUAAAUUUACACCAAAACAGUCAAACUCAUCAGAUAUUCCAUUUAAACUGAAGUUCCUAGCUUAUCGCCCCGCCAUUUUAUCACAAAACAAUUCAACCUAAACCAAUUUUAUUUGCCUUGUAAAACCCGAAUUAGGCCCUAGAUCCAAACUCUAACAACCAUGAGCAAAAAUUUGAAGUCUAAAGUACAAUGCAUAGCAAAGAAUAGAAUUGAACCUGAAAGAUGGAACGACCACUGGGCUGACCAGAGAUCUUUUUGACACCUCGCUGAUCCACUAUCUUUGUUGCCCUCUCAAGAUUCUUACCAAACAAGAAAUGCAAGCUACAUUUAACCCAAACAACACACACAAAGAAAAGGCCAAAAUCAAUCAACCCAUUUACACCCUUCUACAAAUCAAUACUAACUUGAUCAAAAGCAAGCUAGGAAAUUGGAAAGUGACUAUUUUAUAUGCUACUCACAUUGAAAGCUGCUCCUCAGUCACUGCCACCAUUUACAUUAGCCACGGAAGAAAAAAAAAAAGACACUAAACGUCAUUUAAUAGAAGGUGGGUUUAAAAGACUUCAAUAACUAAAUACUAAAAAGCAUGAGAUAUAGAAAGAGAGGACCUGAUUGGGUUGAUUCAAUGGUUUUCCAAACUGUAUCUGCAACCAAACUACUACUUGCACUCAUUCCUUCUUCCUUAAUUUUGCACUACAACCUACCUGAAUGUUCGAGGGUCUCCACUGAUUCCCAUUUGUCUUGAGUGUCCUGUUUCUGAAAUUUCAAGUCUUGUUCUAAGAACAAGAAAAAAAAUUUCGAGUUUAUGAGCUCAACCUCAACGGGUUCAAUUUCUCUGUGAUAGUGAGUUUUUUUAGGCUUUGUUUUGGUCUCCUAUCCCUUGCUCGUUUCGAAAGUCUUCACUCUUGAGCCCGGUAACAAAUGGGCUUUAUGAGCUCACCGGGUCUAAUUUCUCCUUGCAUUUUCUAAUUAAUUUUAUAUAUUUAAAAGAGUUAUUUUUAAAAUUAUUUUAAAUUUAAAAAUAUAUUAAAAUAAUAUUUUUUAUUUUUUAAUUUAUUUUUAAUAUUAGUAUAUCAUCAUUAAUAUUUUUUUUCUCUCCUUUUCUCAUCCUUCUAUUUAUCUGCAUAAUUUUCUAUUUUGCUUUAUAAUAUAAAAAAAUAAUUUAAAGUUAAUUUUUUUAAAAAAAUACGGUUCAACAGUAAUGCAAAAUACUAUUCUAACCUGACAUGUGUCUCACAAAACACACAGCUCACAUUUUACUAUGUAUAUCUUUUAAAUUAAUUUUAUUUUUGUUAUAUAAAAGGAGGUUUGAAUCAAAAUUGAAGAUACGAAUUGAGGCCUAGGGCGAGCCCACGUUAUUAUGCCUUAGGAGGUCUAAUUGACUCAUUUAUAUUAAUUUAAUACCUUUAUCAUUAUGGCUUCUCCUAAUCUUGCGUCUUUGCUCAUACGACCAGGUUGCCUAUAUUUUCAAUAACUCGAUACUGUAAUCAUGCCUCAUGCUUUGAAGGUGUCAGGUUCUUGGGAUUUUUCUUAAAAAAAUUAUUAAAGCAAUAGUUUUUUUAUAAUUAAAUAAUGCCUUCUUUUUUUCCGACACAGUGAUAUAAAAGAUGUUAUCCUUGAAUUUUCUGUUCAAAGACCGAAAACUAUACGAGAGAGUUGCUACUAAAAAGUAAAAACUAGUAGAGAUUAUUACAUAAAAAGGAAAGCAUUCACAUGACAAAGUAGUUUUGACUUUUGCCGAUGUUGUUUUUCCUUAGCCUGGAGGAGCAGAUAGAACAGCAAUGGAGACAUCCCAUCCUUAAACAGCUCCACCUUCAAUUCUCCUAAUGCCACCUGUAAUCCAACAGAGGCUCCAGGAUUGUACACGAGACAACAAACCCAUCAGUUUUUCCAUUUGAACAUGAGCUGUCCCCUACUGUUUGCUUUGGCAUAACAGUUUGAAAGAAUAACUUGGGGACUGAUUCUUCAAACUUGACGAGCUUGUCUGUGUAUUUCUGCCUUCUCCAGCAAUUAUACCUACGAGUUUUUGAGCAUGCAAAAAACGAGCGUCUUGCCUUUCCUGAUUACUUCUAUUAUUGUUUCUGUCUCUUCAUUUCUACGAUUUAAUGCUUGAUUCGACUUUUCCACGUCUUGUAAAAUUGGACUGUUGGAUUGUAGAGUUUUUCCUAAUUUCCUAAGUCUCGUCUUGAACGCGGCUUUGUUUUAUCUCAUUCAAGACUGCUUCUAGCAGCUCACCAAACACUGCUCCAACAUCAGCUCCACCAAGCAAUUCAGCCGCCAUCACUGUUUCUCUACAGUACAAGGAUUUUUUUUUAAUUAAUUUUUUUAUUUUCAAGAAUCUCAAAUCCUCCCAAUAUUUAUUUUUUCAAGGAUGCAAAGUUGGGCAAAGCAAAAAUAACGAUGGAUGCAUCAUGGUCUCGCAAGGGUUAAAGCUUUCCUAUAUCCUUCUUUUUUUUUUUUUUUUCAUGUUUAAAAACUUUUUAUGUUAUUUUAUCUUAAUAUCAUCCAUGUAUAUUACAUUUUUGUCACAUCAUAUCCUCUCAUUAAUCAUCAAUGGGGACCUAAAUCCUGAAGCUAAGGCCAAUCCCAUCUUUUUUAUUGUUGCAAGGAGCCAUGCUUGAGUGAGUCCUCACAAUCCCCUUUCUUACGCAUAGCCAACUACAUGGAUGCUGGGGCGACUCGUGUCUGCGUUUGCUUAUUGCUCUAAAAUCACGGUUGUGCUUGUUUUUGUUACUUCAACUCAACUCAAAUUCGAAAUUUUUUAACAUAGAGGUAGUUUUUUCUUCCUAUUAUGGAGGACUUCGAAGUUCUUUCCUUGUGAAAGUUGUGCAUCAUUUAGGUUUGAGCUACGAGGGUAGAAGCAACUGACAAAUAUAUGCUGUGCGCAGGGCAGGGAGGCUCACAUGAUGACUUCUUAACUCACCUCACGUUCUGCUAAUGUGCAAUGGUUCAAGAAUGGCCAGUGCUUGAAGUCAGAGGCUUUUAAUAAGGCAAGUGCAGUGCAAUUUAUACCCUAAAAAUGCCCUUGGACCAUUGGCUACCGGAACUGUCAGAUUUUACAAGCCCAGAAAUAAUCAAUGAUGACCUGUAAUUUCUAAAAUUUGGAUAACAAAAGAGGCACAAAAUUGGUGCUACAAUUUCUGAAAAAUUAACCAGUCAUUGAUAGAAUGAAACAAGUAUAAUUAUAUAUUUACUUGGAAAAGGCUAACACCAGAACCCGCUAUAACUUCAUCUACAUAAAUGUAUUCUCCUUUAAUAUACCUUGAAAUCAAGAAGUCAGUGUUAGGGUUUUUCCUUGUUCAAGAAAUUGUUUGAAGCAAGUCCACCUCUGCUUGGUCUGCAUUAAGGGAGAAAAUGUCGACUGGAGCACUGGUGCAGCCAACAACAUUAUUCUUUUUUCCACCAUUGGAGGAACCUUUUUGGUGAUGAAGAUAAAUUACAAUCACAGUGAUAUCAUCAUGAAAAUGCCGCCGCGUUCCCUUUUUUAUUUUCUUUAUGUCAUUAUAUCUCAUCUCUCUUUUCUUUGCAGCCUCCUGAAUAGCAGCUCUCACCAAUCUCUUAGCAAUCCCCUGCAGGUGUCAAAACAGCCCAGAGAAUUGUCAAGCAAGCAACAAAAUUUGGAGAGGCACUAAUAACUCCAGACAAUUGAACAUCCAUGACAUCUAGUUUGUUUGCCAAUGCAUUUGCUUAAAAGUUCAGAUGUCAGGAAUAUCAUAUUUCCAAAACACUGUCCAUGCUCAGCAGAAAUACGGUGCGUUUAGAUGCUAGGGUAGAUGAAACUGAAUUCGCAUUCUCAUGAGCUUGUUUUAUGAAAAAGAAAUUCAAUUUUCAUUCCCAAGGAUCCCAUCAAAACCUAACUUGCCUAACCUCAGAGUAUAAAUUAGGUCCGGGAUUUAAAUAUCAAUAAGAGUUGCAAGAAAAAGUAAAUGAAACAUCUAAGUCAAAGACAGGCACUUACAGCUCUUGGGUUUUUGAAAACAAUCUCUACAGCUGCUUCAUCGGUCAAUUGUUCCCAAAGACCAUCUGAAGCAAAGAUCAGGAACAAGUCUUCUGGCCUCAACUUUCUAAUGAGAAUGGAAGGUUCUGGAUUCAUUACUGGCCGUUUCAAAGGAACAGGGUUCCCAAACUGCUGAAAAAUUGGGUCCCUGUUAAUCUCUGGUUUCUUCAGAUACACAUCACCAAUGGAUCUAGAUACCUGAAAAGGGAAAAAGGAAACAGGGAAGGUUUAUUCCACCUUCUACGACAUGCCUAAGAUAGUAAAUCGGCUCCAAAACUUCAGGGAGUCGAGUAACAAAUGAACACAAUGGUUCAGUUCAUCAACCAGAACAUCACACUAUGAUGUUUCUAGUCUCCGGAUAAGUCAAAUAGAUGGAAAAAAAAAAAAGACUUCCUGUAAUUACACAAGCAUUCUUGUGAGGCCUCAGGGGUUUUCAUUUACCUCUCAUGCAUCAGAAGACAUACUGCUUCACUUGAUUGCAUGAAAUGGUAGACCAGGAGGCAGAGCAUAAGAUUCCUGGAAGGGUAUGAAUGUAACCCCCAGGCCAACUUUAACUAUAGUGUUUCCAUCAUAGACAGAUGCCUAUCAUAAAGCAAAUGCAAAAGAUAAAGAUAAGAGAACCGAACAUAAAAUUGGAUGCCUUCAGAAUUGAUCCAUCUUCAGACCAAUUACUUUAUGUCAAACACACUACAAAAUAGUGUUUUUAAGACAGAGGUUAUCCAAGUAACUCAAAACAAACCUGGCAAGACAUUGAAAGACAAUCAAGAGGAUGAAGAAACAUAUUUGGCUCCUAAAUGAAUGAAUGUAUAAUGCCACAAACAAAAAAUACCCAAUCAGCCGAAUUCUCAUAACUAACAAGCAAAAACAGGAACAAGAAGCCAUUUUACCUGUAUAAUGCCCUUAAUCCUCCAAACUCCACGAGUAUAGACUACAAUAUGUGAAUCAUCAGGAUGAAGUGCCUGAACCUCCUUUCUCACCUCCUCAACAGCAACAUUGUGAUCAGUUGAUAACCUUUCUGCCACUACCUUUUUUUUCUUAUCCUCAUCAACUCCUCGGCCAAGAACUACCCUGGAGUCCCCAAGGUUCGCAACAUAUAACACUUCAUUUGAAAUAGCUCCAACCAAACAACAUGAUCCAGCAGAAGCAAUUUGUGGCUUCCAUGGUAAUGAUCGCUUCACUAAAUGACAAAACUCCUCUUCAGUUGCAUUAAAUGCCUUCCUUAUCACGUCAGCUGAUAACCCCCCUUGCUCUGUAGCAAAUUCUGCAAUCAAAACUAACAUCUUAGAUGGAGAAUGACACAAUUACGAAGAAGUCUGUUGCAUAGAGGCCAGUUUAGUCCACGUCUUAGGCAGCCAAAUUUUUUAUUUGCAUCACAUAUUAUCUAGUUUCUUUUCCAAUCGGCCCACAAAUAAAAACACAAACAAACAAAGCUCCAAUUCAAUAAAGCCAGAAACUUUCAAAGUUUUCUACAGCUUGUCACCCUAACACUAACAUAAGUAAACCCACAAAAGCAAACUCCAGCCUCUCACAUCGAGAUUCAUUCUAUUGAAAUGGAAAAGAUAUUAAUACAUACUAUUGCACUAGCACGAACAAGGGAAAGGUGACCAAAGAAAAGAUAGUAAAAAAUGAAGAAUAAGAUAACGUAUGAUUAAUAAUAAAAAAAAACUCUCUUUCCUUUCUAUAAUUUGUGAUAUGGGUUUUGGGAAUUCAAACUCAAAACACACAAACACUGGACUUGAGUCCUUAACCACAGGACCGAUAGAUUAAGAAAUCAAAACCACAAAUAAAUUCAGGGUUUAAGAUAAUCACCGUGAUCAUGAUCAUUACAAUCAAGAAAACAACUAAUUAAGACAAAAAACAAAACAAACAAAAGAAAAAAAAAAUAAACAAGAGAAGAGAGAGAGAGAGAGAGAGAGAGAAUUCUCACUAUUCAUGUAAGGAAACAAAUGUUUAUUGACAAAUCGGGAAGCUUCAGGACCGCCAUGACCAUCAUAAACACCAACAUAAGUAGCGGAGGAGGACGUAAGGACCUGACUUUGAUCUUCUAAAUUAGAAUUAGCUUGAACAACCGCAAUUGAAUAAUCACCAGACGCAUGUUGUUUUAAAUCAGCAUGCCACAUCAAUCCAUCACGGCCACCACCGCCUGCUACCCGACCAAAACACCUCUCUAAUGGUCUGUACCACGAUCUCAACAUCAUCUGCCUUAACAACUUCGAAUGCUCCCGUUCUCGUUGUUCUUUGUUUCUAUGGUUCUAGAAUUUUGUGGUGGUGUCUUUUUUGCUUUUCCCUUAUUGGGUUUCUCUGUUUCUGUGGAAAUAAAUAUAUUGCCCUUUUUUUUCAUUCAAAAAGAAAAGAGAUACCGCGUGAAGACGAAGAUUGAAUGACAGGAAGCUUUUCGGUUUUUGCUUUCAGUGUACACUCCACGUUAACGCUCUUUCUCUAUCUGUUACACUAUUAAAUUAGCAACUUCCAGUUCUUUUCGAGUGUGUAUAUAUAUAUAUAUAUGUAUUGACUUUUUUUAACUUUCUUGUUGCUUUACAAUUUUUUUAAAAUGUUUUUUUUUUAUGGUUAUUUUUCUUUUUUUUGUUCUAGCAGACUUUGAUCCUUGGAGUCUACAAAAUCAAGCUUAUUUAAUUUAUUGUUUGGUUGUAAUAGGAAAUUAGAAAUGUUCGUUUUUACUGACUUUCAACGUAGAAUUUGACCAUGACCACAAAAAUUAUUAUACAAAAAAACCCUACAUCUUGGACCCGUAUCUGUGACUAUGGAUUAGAGUUGGAUAUGACCAAGAAAUUUAGAUUAGGGUUAGCAUCAAAUUUCUUGGAAGGAUCUCUUCUUCUUCUUCUUGUCGUAUUUCUUUUAUAUUAAUAUAAUUUAAAAGACACAUCUACAGAUGAUUAUUCCAAGAUUUACACUUAAAAAUUAAGAAAUGAAGCAAAUACUAAUUUUAACUAGACCGAGACUCUCAAGUAUUCAUCCACAAAAGAAAUUACUAGAUUGAUAUAUUGAUCUCCAUAUAUCAACAAACUCAACGAAAGUAAUUAAUUAGGAGUGGUGUCCUGUACUUCAUAUAUAAUACUUGUAUAUACAGACGAAGCUCAACAACAAAAGGUGCUUGAAUGUAAAGAGAGGAAGAGAGAGAGAGAGCUCUUUAAUAAUGGUUAUUUAGAUUUUUCAUGUCGUUGGCAUAAAUUUCUUUCUCCAUGACUUUAUUAUUAUUAUUUUAAUUUGAAUUUAAGAAAAGGGGAUGGAACCUAUAUAAAAAAUUAAAGUUUGAGAGUGUGGUAUGUAGUAGUUAUUUUUUAAUAUUUUAUUGUUUGAAAAUAUAGUGGAAUGAUAUUUUUUUUAUUUUUUAAAGAAUAUUUUAUAUAUUAAAAUAUCAAAAUAAUUUAAAAAUAUAAAAAAAUCAAAACAAUUUUCGGGUAAAUUACACUCGUUUGAAGUCUUGAAUGCAAAUAUUGACUCUAUUUCUACCACUAUAAUUGAAUGUUUCAAGUAACAAAAGUCAAGAGUGAUUCCAUGUCGUGAAAGACAAAUUGUUCAAAUCACAAAUAAUAAAGUCCAAAUUUACUUCCAACCAAAUUAAAGUAUUGUCUGGCUUUAAUUACUUGCUGGACAUUCUUGUACGCAAGCAAUUAUACCCUUCCAUUUACUUCCAGGCUCCUCCUAGUUACUUCCAUGUGAUCGAUGCUGCAAAUGCAAGCAACUAUUAAUGGUGUCUCUGUUUUCCAAUGACAGAAUUAAGAUGACAGAUAAUGUGACAUAAAAAAAAACACUUGUAGCCUCGUAGUUAGAGGAGAGUGCUUGCCAUUUAUUGUGCGGAAAAAAUGAGAUCAGAUGUGAAUGCUGAAUCAGAGAGUUAAGGCUUUUAAUGAGUAAUUGGGUAGGUAGCCAGAGAAUUUUCAUUUGGAUACAGUUCCUGCUCACUGUUUUCCUGCGCGUAGUUUUUCAGAAAACAUCAAAAUCUGGUUUCCGAUGCUUCAAAAACUAGCCUUCUUGGCAAAUCUUGUAGAUUCCAAUUUGGUUUUUCUUUGUAGUUCUUUGAUUAAUUUGUCAGAAAUUACUCCUGGUUGAUCAUUAUUCAUGUAUCAUUCCAGUACACAUUUUUGCAGUCCCUAGCAGGACCCGUCAUCACCGUUCUCAAUGUCCUUUCUUUUUGUCAUAUAUUUCAUAAGAAAGUGUAAACUUUUGGUUAAUUCUUUUCAAUGGAUACUAACCAGACAAAAAAUGCCCAAGUUUCAGUUUAGCAAAUAGAGAAAAUAAUUAGCCAAGCUAGGAGAGAAAAGAAUAGUGCAAAGCGUGCUUAAACUUGAAUAGAAGAGAAAUUUUGAGCUAAUACAAACAUAUUGUUCAAUUCAUUUGCACAUCAUCAAUCCAUUACACUUAGAUUCUUGAAUUCAUCCCAGCUAGUUGCAGAGCUUAAAAUCUCAUCCAUCUCUGGAACCAAGCUCUUCUCUGUCAUCUUCUCCUCAUGCUGUGUGUAAGCAUUUGUAGAAUGAUCAUCUCCCAUCAAGAACAUACUUGAUAAGUUUUUUUUUUUUUUACCCAAAAAAUGCUCAAGCAAACGAGCAUGUUAUCAUUGAGUCACUUUAGGUGAGGGUAAAACAAUGAGAUUAGGAUUGUGAGAUUUGAAUUCCAUAGAUUAGUUACUGCUACCUUUUCAUUUUUGAUCAAAGGUUGUGGUUCUCAUAUCAUGUUAAAAAUGAGAAAAGUUGUUAAAUAAGUUCCGAGACAUAAUUUUAAUUUUAUAUUAUUCUUUAUUAACAAGCAUGCAUGUUCAUUGUCAUGGUUAGUCUUGGAAGUACUUUCUUUCCCCCUUUUGUUUAGUGAUCCAGUACAAGUUUAAUAAGUUAGGAACAGUGUCUAGUUCCAGAUCCAUACAGAAACUUCUGAUUGAUCAGGAAAAAUAGAAAAUGAGCAGAGCAGAAGCUCAAGGUAAAAGUGAAAUCCAUACACAGUCUAAACAAAAGAACAAUCUGCAAUAUAAGAGUAGUGCGGAGAACUUGUAGUUGCUUUGCGUGAAGCCUUGAAGCAAAUCCAUGAUGUAUUAAAAACAGAUUCAGCUUUUUCUCCAUGGAAUCCAGCAAAAAGUUGGAGGGCUUUUGUAUGGCAAGAAGUUCUGCCUCAUUGAAGUCCUUGUUUCCAUUGAGAUGAAAUCACAGCAUUGAGAAUCUCUUAGUCCUUGCUUCCAUUGAGAUGAAAUCACAGCAUUUUCAACUAGGGGAAGGCCAUGAAGAAACAGUUUCGCGAUUAACAGAAUUAGACCUGUUGCUGAGUGCAUGAGGUCCUCAGUCAAGUAAGGAAAUCCAUAAAAUGCAGAUUUAAAUCAAAUGCCUAACCACAGGAAAAUGAUUUAAAUAAAAUACCGAAAAAAAAUCUAAUGUCUUGGCCAAAGCAUUGGAAUUACCUACACUAAUCAAUUGACAACAACCUCAAAAGCCUAAUUUUUCUUACCCUCUACUUCUUAGUGUGAAAAACUAAAUUGAACACCCAACUGUUUUGAUUUGAUCAUGUUCUGAUCACUCUUAUAAUGGAUUCUGUAGUCAGGUUAUCAUAAUUUUCGAGGCAAAUUAUAUUCAAGAGGGAUUUUGAAAACAAAUUAACCUGUGCUUUAGAGAUAUGCAUGGAAUGUGAAUUUUCAGAAGUUGACAAGCAGUUGAAGGCGAUUUCUAGGAGCAACUGUAAACCAAGUUUUAUUCAGUUUGUAUGUUAAUAUACAUCAUUCUUAUACGAGUAAAUUGUCAUACAAAUCUCCAGAAAUGGUUGAUUUCAAAACAUUAUCUGGCCCAAUUGACCUCAUCAAAUCUUCUAGAGUUGGAACCACAUCUCUCUCCAGCAAAGCUGCCAAUGAAUCAUUCGAAAACCCAUUAACCAUUGUCACCCUAUUCAAGCUCCUUGCUGGGAAAUUCAAGAUACCAGUUUCACCUCUUAGAUUCCAAAAUACAAUCUCUGGCAAUGUUGUACAGUCUCUCCUUCUCCUAUAACUCCCCCACAUGCCCCACAAGCAAGCAGAUACCUGCUGUAAUCCCAUGUCAGUGAAAACAAAUAUCUUUUGUGGCAUUUUCUCUUGGCUAAUCUUCUCCGCAAGAGCAAAUUCGAAUAUUUGAUCAAGCACCCUCUUAAUAUUUUCAACCUUACUAUAGUCCAGUUGCCUCAUGAACUCAAUCUUGGCUGGAAGAUUACUUCCUUCAAUCAUGCGAAUCUUAGGAUCAUCACCAAAAGAUACAAUCUUGCCCUUCCAUGGUUCUUCACUGAGUUCUGAAACUAACAACCCCAUCGAUACACAAAUAUCCUUCUGCAUUUUGUUCAUGUCCCUUGAUAUCCCAUAAACUGCCAAACAAUUCUUCAAGCUCCCUUUCUUUUUCAAGUAGUUAACAAGGCUUUCCCAUUUAGACUCUGCGACCAUGCUGCUACUUUUAUCCCUCAAAGAAGCUACAAUUUCAUGAGGAAGCAAAAACUUUUUUUUCUUCGUUGUUCUUGCUGCAAUAUCCACGUAAACGUUAAACCUUUUAUUGUAAUCCGCGGUCCAAAGCCCUGAAUACAUUUUCUUCACAGUGGUUGACACAAUAGGCCUAAUAGGCCUCUGUGUGAUUGGAUCACACCUUGUUCUCCUCACAAGGGCUUUACGAAGAGGAACAAGAACUUCUUUCAUCAAGCGAUUUCGAACCCUAUAAACAUAGUGAGCAUUUUCAAUAUCAAAGUACCCGGGGUCUGAAUCGAAAGGGAAAACUGCCUUUGCAAUGCUUUCACAGAUCUGAGUUCUCCUAUCAUAGAAACUAUUGACAGAAGGACACCAUUUUGCAGCCAAACUAAUCUUUUCAACCUCACCCAAGUUCAAGAAUUCGAUAUCAGACUUCAGCAAAUCUGCAUAAAUAUCUGCAACACAAUUGUGCAAGAAAUGAUAUGCUGAAACAUUUCGGUGAAAAAAGACUGCACAUUCAGCCCAAAACAUGUCUUUCUCCCUCCUCAGAACCCUCGUUUCCUCCUUCUCCAUCUCUUCAUUCUCGAUCUGAUCCAUUUUCACAUUCUCUCCUUGAUCCAACAUUCUGCUUUGACAGUAACCUCCAUUUACCAUCUCAAACACCAAGAUUCGAUACAAAAUUUCUGGAAGAUCUUUCAAGUACCCAAAACUUGCCAAGGCUGCAAGAUUUGAUGCAAGAACAUAAUGUUGGUACUUAUGAAGCCAAAGAACCGAGUUAAAGAACGCGUAUUUAUUAGGUUUUCCCUUUAUGGUGGCUAAUCCAAGAUAGCAAAUGAGCUUGAGAGUGGUAUUUGGGUCUUCUUUCCAGGCACGUUCUAACCAGCGAAAUAGAGUUUCAGGGGGUGUACUGGGAGUGAUUUUGAAGAAGAGAAACUGGCAAGGGGUUAAGGUAGGAAUCUCCAUCUGAGGGUACCAUACAGGAGCUUUUGUUUGUGGUUUUUGAGUUCUUGCGGUGGUGGUGAGUGGGGCACGGCGGUAAAUCUCUGGUGGGCCAAUGAGAAAGGAAGGAGAAGGAGCCAUGGUAGUGAGGGUUUUAGAGUCUUGAAAAUUGUUUGUUUGUGGUGGUGCCUCCUGGUGCUAUGAGGCGGGAGAAGAAUCAAGAAGAAAGGCAACGAGAUUUUUUUUAUAGUUUCUACUAUACUUGGGUCGGCACUUAUAAUCAGCUGUAACUGAUAACCUGUAAAAUAGGUUUAUUCGUAGGGGAAAUAAAUUCCCACUGGCCCUUGAACUCUGUAACAUCACGUCCAAACUUUCUAGGGAAUGGCCAUGUCAAGUUCAGAUACUGUAAAUCUUGGCCUCUUUGAAAGUUUCAACCAAAUUGCUUUUCAGUUCAUUUGCUUCCUCAAUUUUAUCAGAAUUCAUAUAUCUUGAUAUGGGAAAGGGGAGACGAAAGCACAUUUGAUUCUUCAGACCUGUGUUGUCAAGCUAAUAGUAAAACAACAUGUCAAGGAAUCAAUUUCUCCCUCCCCCUUCCUCUUUGCUGGAAGUAAAGAAUUCCUGUUCUACGAACUCCGCUGCGUUUUAUUCUUACAUAAAAUCAAAUCAAAUUCCAAAAUUCUUCAGUUGGAUCAAUGACCAUGAACAAACAUAAAAUGGUCAGUUGGGUACCUAGAACUUCAAAACCAUACCAGACAAAUACCAACUUGCUUGGAAAAAUGUUGAGGCAUUCAGAUUUGUUCAUUAAUUCUUUUCAGUUUCUUUGUUUUCUUAAGAGUUCUCUAUAUGCUUGGUCAUAUAUAGUCACUCUUAAACGUGCUUCAGUCCAUGGCAGGCCUGAGCAUUAGAAAAUGCACGUACUCUCACUCUAUGUUCAUAUGUCUACUUUGUUUAAUUUUGGAUAAUGGAAGAAUUUCGUAUAAAUCAAACAUUUACGUGGAGCAUACCUGCUACACCAGUAUUUUCCUGCUAUGAUAUUUACAAAAGACACAAGAAAGAAAACAUGGUGUCAGAGCACCAAUCCAUUUGAUCUAACAAGCAAAUCAAGAUCUGAGAAGACCCCAGUUCUUGAAAAUACCAGCAAACUCUGGCUUACGCAGAGCUUCUAUGUUUAGGUUUCAGCUCAUCUCUUAAAUAGGCAAAGAAUUGUCAUGUAUUUUUGAGAAAGCAAGCUCAAGACUCUUACCAUCCCAUUAAACACGCAAUGGCCUCUAAAUAUUAUUUAUUAAAAAAACGUAAGGAAAAACUAUCAUUAAAGCAUCUGAUGUCAUAUCCAAUUACCGGUUAAGGAUCAAAGCAUCAGAUGCACUGACAAUAAGUUUUUAAGGACCUUUUCUCUCUUUAUUUUUUAGCGUGAAAACUGCAAUUCUAGCACGAGACAUAUCUUUCUCCCUCCUCGUAACCCUCCUCUUCUCUUUUUCCAUCUCAAUCUCAGCACCCCGGCUCUCACUUUUCACACUGGAUUCUUGAAACAAGGGGUCUUCACUGUUGUAACCUGUAAGUUCCAUCUCUAACUUCAAGUCAGGAAGAUCUUUUAGGUACCCAGAACUAGCAAGGGCUGCAAGAAUACGUAACUCGAGAAAUUAAAGAUCUUUCUUAUGAAACCAAAGAAGUGAAGUGGAGAAUGCAUCUUUAUUAGGAUUGGCAUUGAUGGUGGCUAACCCAAGAUGGCAAAUGAGCUUGAGAGUGGUAUUUGGAUCGUCAUUUCAGGCACGUUCUAACGACAGAGUUAAAUUUUCAGGGGUUAUUUUGGGAGUGAUUUUGAGGAAGAUGUAUUGACAAGGGGUGAGAGAGGGAAUGUCAAUCUGUGGGUACAUACAGGGGAUUGAGUUGGUGGUUUCAACGACAUCAGUGAUUUUUCUUUGGAGGUGGCGAUGGCGGUGGUUAUGUUGGUAGGUGGGGUGAGGUGGAUCUGUUGUGGGUCAAGGAGGAAGGAAGAGCAAGCCAUUUCAAUGCCGAAGAAGGUAUCAAGCCACAGUGGUGCUGCCUGGUAGUGGCAGUUGAAGUUGAAAGGCAUUAAGGUGCUUUUAUAUUGAGCAUUUGCAUGGGGACCAAGGACUUGGAAUUGCCAAAAAAGUCUAAAAUUAUCAAGGCCAGCAUUAGCUUUUGGUAAUCAAUGGCCUAAAAAUUAGGUUUGGCAAAUCAGUACAAUUGGGCCUUGAACUAUGUAACAGAAAGAUGAAAAAGCAUUAGCGAUUAGAUUACCUUUCUGGGAAAUUAUAAAAAUGAAACAUGCCGAAUUAUAUUAUAAUCUUUCAUUGAAGGAGGCUAGAAAGUGAAGAAGAAACGAACAUCUUCGCUGUCCACUCCAGAUGCUAUGCUGUGUCCUCAAAUUAAUAAUAAAACAUGGCAAAGCUUCAGUAACGUCUCUCUUCCAUUCCCCUUUGCUAAAAGUAACAUGAUGAAUUAUAUCCAAUUCAGCUGGGCCAGAUUUGAUUGGUCCGGAAAUUCAAAUUACUUCACAAAGUUAUUGCAGUCGAAUUCAUGAUAAUGAAAUAGACCGAUUCCAAAUGAAUGAUGAUAGAUCACUUUUGCCCUUUUUUCUUCGUUUUGUAAUAAAAUGAAAAGUCUUCGCAACAGGUCUUGUGUAUCCUUCUCAUUAUACCUACCUUUAAGACAAGGAGGAAAAACUAUACACGAGAGUAUUGGAAAAAUAAAAAUGACAGCGAAUUGAAAAUUUGAAAUCAAGGAGUAUUACUCAGCAUCUGGUAUAAACGGAACUCCAAACAGAUAAUAUUAAGUGGGGAUUAAGGACUCUAGGCUGAGAUAAUUUCGUGUUUUACAACAAAACCAAGUAUGACAUGAACCACACGAAACCAAACAACGACGAAACAACAUUAAUGAAAUUCGGUCAAGAUAUAAACUUUGAACUAGGAGUCUACAAUGUAAGAGAAGCCGCAGCUGAAGAAACAUAAAACCUUCUCAGAAGGACUUCAUGUUCAUUCUCAGUCAUUAGUUACAACUACAUCUCUUCGACAAUAUGGGCAGUCACCGCAUGUCCGGACCCAAGGAUCCAAGCAAGCAGAGUGGAAUCUAUGCUCACAUGGCAACCGAAUAAGUUCAUCUCCUUCUGUGAAACUCUCGAGACAUAUACUACAAUCCCAUGACACCUGAGAUACACCCCCUUCGAUACCCUUCUCUAUGCUGCUAAAUACCUCUGAUUGUAAACAGUGAAGGGCAUCUUGGGUUAGACCAGGUGGUUUCUUCUUGUGUGAUUCCUGCACGGUGUGAAGUCUUUCUGUUUGAAGGGUUGAGUCAUCGGAAGAGGAACCUCCAGCAAACAACCCUGUAGAAAUGUCAGCUCCCCAGUCCCCUGCAUCAACAACCCUCAAUUCAUCGCCAAGCGUAUACUCCCUGUUAUAGAUGCCAAGAGAAGCCCGACCACUUUGCCUGAAUGAAGCCAAAAUAAACAGGUCCGUAGCUUAAGUAAUUCCAUGACCAAUGCUUCAGAGAUAACAAAACAUGCUUGCAUUAGCAAAGAAAACUGUGUCAUUGUGUUUCUCAUGAAUAUGGCCUAGAUCUACAUUCUUAUGGUAACAUAUGAGAGAUAGUGCCGGCAUCUCCAAGCAAUAAUAAGACAAGCAGUUAUGAUAGUAGUGGGGGGCAUAAGAAAUGGGACCAAAAGCAGCAGCCAUAACUAUCAAGAUUUUAACAGCACAGACAUAUGAUGGAAUAGCAUGAACAUGUGACAAAUGCCAAAGGUUACCAUCAUUAAUAUUGAUGGCUGCCAAUUUGUGAUGGGUCCAAGUACCACGAUGUAUGCAUAACUCUGUGCAUUAUACAGGGAAUUCAACAGGGUAUCUAAAUCACCUGUUUCCAGAAAGUGAAACUCCUCUUAACCUUUCGAGAAGCCUUGCCCUUGCAAGUACCACAGCUCCAGGAAGUCUGUCAUUUACAGUCACUCUUGGCCGGCUUGUGCUGCUUAGAGUUUCAGUGCUGUUAUUGUUGCUUGGUACAAAUUGACUGGUACCUUGAUCAUGUCGAGAUGAGGCACGUUCCUGUGCAAGCCAAAUGCAAUACAACAAUGAGCGGGGCAUAAAAAAGAUCAUAAAGUGGCAUUGCAAAACUGAGAGUUGGUAUAUAACAAUUGUAAUAAUGCAAAAAAAAAAAAAUGCCCUAUGGUUCACCAAACAAGUGAAGAACAUAAAGUUCAAUUGAGAAACCAGACACAAUUGAGCAAACAAAACAAACAGCAGGAAAUAUUGGCGAAAGAGUACACAUACAAAUUACACACCUUUAUCAAUCCAAUUGAUUUUAAUAUUAGGUGCGCAUAUUUGAGACUAGAUAAGAAUACGCAAACGUUAGCCAAAUGGAAUGGCUCAAUGUCUAGGUGCAGCUCAACAACAUACAAAAUACACACCUUUAUCGGUUCAUAAUUAAGAUAUCUAACCGAAUGCUUCUCAUUCGGCAGAUUACGAGUUAAGCAUAAAACGUUGGAAAACCAUGAAACUACCAAAAACUCAAUCUUUCAAAAGAUGCUGUCUAGCUAGCUAGCUAGUAAUUACAAUAUAUACGCGAGCUGUUUCACGGAAUCUUACCUUCUUAUUUAUAUUAAAAUCACCUCAUUCCUCAAUUAAAGCCAAUGAUAUAAUUGAUUUCCUAAUUUGGCCUAAAAUUUAUGUGAUUUCCAUAACAGAUUUCGAUGAAUCCAGAAGACCGUCAGUAAAUUUAUUCUCUAGUGAAUACAAAUCAAAAGAAACUUCAACUUAAAUAUCCACUUAAAACAAAUUUACCAGUUUUUUGUAGCUUCCUAUAGUAAAUUUUUUUGCUUAUUGCAUUAUUUACGACCGCUAAAGAAAUAUUACAAUUUUAAAUCAAUUAAUUGAAGCAAUAAAACAAUUGAAGAUAUAGUUUUUGAACACUCAAAUUCCAAUAUAUUCAAGUUUCUUACAGAGAGAAACGAUAAGCGCUGGCAGGGGUGCCGCACGUGAGGAGAUCUGCGAAGAGGAUCACAGCCGUCUAAAUCAUGACGGUGAUUAUGAUUAUUGUGAUGGCGGCGAUUGUAAUUUUGGUAAAAAAUACGGUCAGAAACAGAAGGUUCGAGCCCUAGAUCGGUAUUGGCUCGGCUCACUCGCGACCUUCUUUGAUAAAACAACUCCGAUGCGCUCGUCAUGCACCACGGAACUCACGAUCCGGUUUAUUUGUUGCCACAAAAUUGCAGCGUAAGAAGAAAAGAAAAGAUAAUAAAAAAUGGAGAUGAAGUCAGGUGAAAUUUUUAGCGAGGUUUCAAAGAAAUAAUGAAAGUUCGAGAACUGGAGAGAGAAUUCAAAAGGAAGAGAGGAGGAGGGUUCGCUGAAACGCGGCAGGUGUUUGUCUUGACGAGUUAGAGGGUUUGGAAGUUUGCUUGCUUCGAAGAAAUGCAGAUUGUAGUGCAGAGCCGCAAUCAGGAGAUAAAACGACUGUGAAAUUGGUUUUUUAGUUUUUUUAUAUAUAUAUAUAGAAUUCUAGGGUGUGAUAUUAUUUUUUAAUAUAUUAAAAAUUAUUUAGAUUGAAAACUUACAUGGAUAAGUAGAUUUUAACCUAUUAAUAUUUUAUUAACAAGAUUUGAAUAUUAUAUUAAAAAAAUAGAAAUUUUAAGAGGUUGAGGUUGCGAGAUUGCGGUGUCUUAGAGAUACUAAUAAAAUUUUGAAGAUUGGUGACUCAUUCGUCAGUUUCUAAAUUGGUCAGGGACUGAUUUGUAGUUUCCCUUGAAACUUUUCAUUUUCUUUGUUAUCUGAUGGAGACUUGAAAUGAAGGAUUUCGAUUUGAGACAAGGUAUGGGGUUCUAGUCUUCUAGAAGCGAGUAAUUUGAGAAAGGGUUGGCUUGCCUCAAAGAAUUGCUAGGCCCAAGAAAUUUUAAUAUUAUCCACGCAUGCUUUUGUCGGCAGUUGCCACUGUUGACUACAGCAUCAGCAACAUUCGCAUACUCAGUGCUAAGGAUUUCUUUCCCUGCACUGUGAACAGCUAUAGCCCUGUGAGUAAUCAUGAAGUAUGAUGCUGCAGAAUCAUCCAUUGAUUAAUGUGAAUAUUGCAUGAGUAGCAACAACAGAACCAUCCCGGAAAAGGAAACGGACUGCGUAAAUUUCUUGAACUUGUGUUAUUAAUUGCUUGCAUAUGUAGGCAGGUAAUUAUAUUCUACGGUUCAGGGCCACAACAACUUUAAUCAUUUAUUUCCUAAGUUUUCAUCUCGAUCGUGGUUAGCUUGAAACUGGAACGAAGCCUUGUUAGCCAACUCAAUAAGGAUUGGUAAACAAGCAAGGAUCAUGGGGUGUGUCAGGGUCUGGUUUCUCAACACCAUCAACAUUCCUUAGCCAAUAAGUCUGAUUUAAUGAAGCUGCUUUCUCCGGUACACCGUCCAUCACCCCCUCGUGGCCUUUUGGGACAUAAAUCCCUGUGCGAGGAUGAGGUGCCCAGUCCUCCGUCUUGCUUUCUUUGAUUGAGCUUUUCCUUGGUUUUUCUGGCCGAUACACUGAUGGAGGACUGCUAAAAUGGCACCGGAGUGCUGGCCUGGUUUUCCUGCACGAGCUGUCAAACCUCGAAUCAAUAUCAGGGCCAAAUUAGCAAACACAAAAACAUAUCCACUGCUAACUGACACAAAUCACUAGCUAGAAAUGCAAGAAUUAAAGCUCAUUUGCAAAAUAAUACUGACUGCGCGUUUAGUAAAACUCUAGUUAACUUCAGGUCAAAGGAGAACCCCCGAUCGAUCAAAAGUAAUUGUUAUAGGAAGCUGAUAACAUUACCUAAGCAUUAGCAUCUUUGUUUUUGAAAUCAUAGUUCUAGCAAGCCGCGUGACUGAUGACAAGGUACAGAAGCUUAUUAUAACUAGGUUGUUAUAGCUAGUGCUGCGAGGCUCUAGGUUAAGGGUAUGAAGGUUUGAAGGUUCUUUAUAUAAUAGUGAUGCUACGCAACCAUCGAAAGUGAUGGAAUGUCACCAUGGAAACAUAAGUAGAUAUAAUCUUAGUGGUGUUCUAUCAAAAUAUAUGGAGGAAUAAGUUCUUUCUGUACACAUGUUAGUGAAGGGCGACCAUUGGCACACCUUCGAAAAGCAAAGGUGCAUGGAACCAAAAAAAAAAAAAAAAAACAUGUCUCCUCUUGAGAAAAAAAAAUAGGGGUGCGUGAUGCAAAUCUGUGGCUCUAAAAUCAUCACUGUUCAUGGUUGCUUAAAUAAAUGGUGGAUGGGUAUCAAGCGGGUGUGAUUGUGAUAUAAUAAUUCUCAACUUCAAAAUCUUAUUUUAGCAAUUUGGAGUGUAUGGAUUUUUCUUAAAGAGCAAAGCAUCAGCGACCUGUCAAACACGGCAUGGGAUGAUUAGAAAACAGAAAUGGAUAUAUUGGGAUAUCACUCAGAAUUUGAUCGAGGAGCAAUAUCCCUAUUAUGCUGCGAUCAAGGAGAUAUUUAUUAAAAAAACAUGAGAAUAUAUUUCAAGUUGGCAUAACUAAAGAAUACUAGUAUAAUGUAAGCGCUUUGCAAUAGAUUAAUAUUAUUUUAAAAAAAUAUUUAGCAAUUAUGUUAUAUUCGAGCAUUUGGUGUCUUAGCAACCAUGAAACUGGGGUCCAACCAUUGUGUCAGACUCAAUUAUAUAUUUUAAUUGUCAAAAAAUAAAAUUUACAAAUAAUCCAUCACACACACAACACCACGUAGAAGAUAGUAUGAUUGCACAUUCAGUGAGAAUAACAAAUAACUAAAUUUGACCAUCAGAAAACAUCACAUACUCCUCUUUAAUAAUACAUACACCACUACUUGUUGGGAAAAAAAAAUCAAAGAAAUAUCUCUCCAAAAUAUAAAAAGUUAAAUAUAAAAUUAUUAUUAUAAUUUACAAUACAAAUAUUUUUUAAUGUGUAGUGAUUCGAUACCAUUUAAUUUUUGUUAUAAUAUUACAAAUAUAUCAAUUGAAUAUAUAUAUUUUAUAUCUAGAUUAUAAGAAAAGCCUGACAAGUAUAUUUUGGAUCAAUUGCGACCCCCUUUUCUUCUUUUUUUCAAGAUUUCGAUUGAUUUUAUGUUAUUGGGGCUUGUGCUACUAAUUAAACUGUGUUACGCCCAACAAUAUGUUAUUUUAUCUUCAAACACAAUAUCUGUAAAUAAAAAGUGAAUAACAAAAAAAUCAAACUGACCUUUUAGAUCUCAGAUCUGGAUUUGUUAUCUUACGCGAGUACAUAUCUGCACCAAGACAAACCUCGCGACAAGUUGUAUAAGUCAAUUCUAUAUUCUUUGAGUGUGUUUGAUAUUGCAGUAUUAUGAUUAUAAUUUGAUAAAAAAUAUUUUAUAAAAAGUAUUUUUAGUUAAGGUUGGUUUUAAAAAAUAAGUGUUUGGUUAAAAUUAUGAUUAAAAUUAAGGUUGAAAAAAAAAAGUUUAAUGUGUUUGGUUAAAAAUGUUUCUAAAAUUGAGAUUAUAAAAUAAUUUUAAAAAAUACAUAUUAAUAUUGAUGAUUUUUAAUUAAAAUAUUGUGGAUUUAACUAUUACUAUUACAUCAUAAAAUAAAUUAUUUUUUAUAUAAAAUAUUUUUUAGUAUUCCAUGAAACCAUCUAUAAUUCCAUUACAUACGAAAUACAUAUAACAAGAACUAUAGUUUCCAUAAUUUUUUUAGCGUGUGAUAAAAUUAGAUAAAAUAUUAUCAAGUAUAAAAUUCACUAUAAACUAGUUUUAAAAAAAAAUUAAAAAAAUUAAUAUAGUAAAAAAUAUAAAAAAAAUGUUCACACAGUACAAAUGAACAGUGUAUCAUUAUGCACUGUUCAUGUUAACAGUGCAAUUAACAUGAAUAGUGCAUAGGAAAAGCAAGGAAUCCUUGUUUUUAUUUUACUGCAGUUUCAACGCAUAAAAAACAUGAGAUCCAGUGAACAACAUAUCACUUUUUUCCUUAACUAAAUAGCUGUAAACUGUAUUUUAAUUAAAACAUAAUUUCAAACCGGUUUUUUGUGCUGAAACAUAAUUUAUAAAUAAAUAAACUCAAAACUAUCCAUAGAAAUUUAUAUCUUUUAACUGGCUAAUAAAAACAUGAGACAUUUUAAAUACAAGAUCUUAAUUGAUAAAUUAAAAAAAAAACUUGAUAAUUUAAGAUUAUGAAGAAGAAAAAGGAGAAACUAUACGAAUGACUCAUAGAAUACUAAUUUUUGGAUUAUUUUUUUUUCACAAGGGGAGAGUAUAACUUUAUAAAGUGACGAUAAAAACAAAGAAAUAUUUUUUAUUAAUAAAAAGAAAAGAGAGAAUAUAAAAAGUCAUUACAUUAAGUGAUCAAGAUAAAAUAUUAAUUUUAAUAAUAAUAAUUUUUUAAAAUUUAUUAUUAACAAAUAAAAACAAUUUGAAAAUAUAAGAAUAAUAAAUUUUAAAUGAAUAAAAAAAUAAAGUUUAAAAACAAAAAUAAAUAAAUUGGAUAUCAUUUUCACACAACUAUGGCCAUGUGGGCCAUGACUGAACAAGUUUGGAUAAUCGAGGAGCAAAUCAAAUUCAAAGAAAACCAAAAAUCCAACGUUGAACUUCACUUGCACUAAGGGACUGUUUGGUAGUGUGGUUGUACCUGUGUUUUGUUUAAAUUUGAAUUUUUUAUUUUAUUUUUUUGCUAAAAUGGAGUUCAGUUUAUAUUUUUUGGAUCGUUUUGAUGUGCUGAUAUCAAAAAUGAUUUUUAAAAAAUAAAAAAACAUCAUUAACAUGUAUUUCAACAUAAAAAGUUAUUUGAAAAGCAACCGCUACCACACUACCAAACUAUUUGUGUUGCCUACGUUUCCCAUUGCGUGUUUAAUUAAAUUUUAUUUCCUGCAGUAACCACCUGUUUCCCGCCCCCGUGACGUCAAAGCCAAGGAAAGAAAAAAAAACCCCUCCUUUCCCGCCAUCAACGCGCAAAAAACAAAAACACACAAUCAAUCCCAAAAAUCACUUUUAUUUUAUUUAUCACAUGUUUAAUUAAAUUUAAUUUAUAAAUAAAUUUGAAAUUAAUUAAUAAUUUAUUAUUUUUUUUAUAUUUAAAAUAAAAUACUAAAAAAUAUUUUUAUUUAAUUUUAUAUAAAAUAUAAAUAAAUAUUUUUCAUAUUAAUUAUCUACUGAAAAGACUUAAAAAUAAAAUUUGUUAAAAAAUAUUCAACCAUCAUCCACACACAUUACCAAAAAAAAAAACCAUUAAUUAUGAGCAAAAUUAAAAAACUACAACAAAAAAACAAACAAUAAUAUUUAAACAAGAAUUGAUGCAAAUAAAAGUUUUUCAAAGAAACAAUAAUAUCUUACUUUUGCAUUUUUUUAUAUAUUAAAUUCGGAAUUUAAAUUAAUAUUCUUAAUAAAUUCUGAAUACAAAAAUUCAUGGAACUCUUUCAAUUAUUCCAGAAAAAAACUGUUUCAUUUUUCAAGAUCGACGGAACACAACCCAAAACAACAAGACUCAUAAAUGAAAAUCAAAACGAAACGAUCAAAAAGAAAACUGGGGCUACCAGCUGCAAUUAUUCUUUGUUCUUUGUUCUUUCUUGCCGGUUUCUACAGUUCCAUUUUCUUCCCCCACGUAAGUGCCUCUCUCUCUGCGUGCGUUGAUUUUGUACUUUAAUUAAUUACUCUGAUUAGAGGGUGAUUAUUGUUUAGUUAUGGUUUUUCAGGAUGUACCUGUUACUAGACCGAGGUUAAGAAUGUUUGAAGUAGCUGAAGGGGAUCAUGAUACGAUGCCGCAUGGGCUUACUGGAGAAGCUUCUGUUGAAUCCAUUCCUUUUCAGGUAAUUCAAGUUUGAAAAGUUUUUGGGUUAGUGUUAGAUUGGUGAUUUAUUGGAGAGUUGGACUUAAAAUCAAGUUAGGUUAUUGGAGUUUGAUGUGAGAUAGAUUUGUGGUAGUUUUCACUGGAUCAUAGUUUUUUGGUAAAUUAUUUAGAAGUCUUAGCUUGAUUAAUUCCCAUAAAGGAAAUUAAUUUUAGUUUUGUUUAUUGAAAUGAUGGCAAAUAAGAUUAUUAAAAUGAAAAUAUCGAACUGUGGAAAGAUUUAUGGCUCUUUGGAGAUCGUGUUGGUGGGUAAGAAAUAAAACAGAAAAUGAUGCACUGAAAGGAAAAGAAGAGUUUCAAUCUUGUAAAUAAACCAAUGUUUUUGUGACAGAGGGAAUGUAUAGGCUGUAAUUUUUAUUUUUAUUUUUUUGCUUAAUUAGAAAUGCUUAGAAUGAUAUUCUAAUUCGUUUGCGCAUCUUUUUUAUACAUGGUUUCAGGUAUUAAGUUGGAAACCAAGAGCACUUUAUUUUCCGAAGUUUGCGACUCCCGAACAAUGCGAAAGCAUAAUUAAAAUGGUUGAGUCUAAAUUAAAACCAUCUACACUAGCUUUGCGAAAGGGAGAAACUGCUGAGAGCACCAAAGAAACUAGAACAAGGUAAAUCAUUUCUUUUCCAUUUCCCUUUUAUGUGCAAUGCACCAUGUCCUUAUCUUACAACUCUUUACUCAAUGGACUUUUCAUCUUUUUGACAUUAUAACUCAUGAAAACAGUUCAGGAUCAUUUGUUAGCGGAUCAGAAGAUGAAACUGGGACCUUGGACUUCAUCGAGAAGAAAAUUGCAAAGGCUACCAUGAUCCCGCAAUCCCAUGGAGAGGUAUUUUCUUGCUGCUAUAAUGUCCUUUUUUUGGGGGCUGGAAUUCAUAGGGUUGUGAUAAUAAUUAUGUAAUAGGUAGUAUACUACUUUCCAUAUCCGUGUGUUUACUUGUUUCUCUUUCUUUUAGUAAAGCUAAAGGCAAUAACUUAUUCAAAUAUGACUCAAUCAACAGUUGUUAAUACUUUAUGACAUUAUGUAACCUAAUGUUCCAGAUUAUAGAAUCUGAUGGAUCACUGAUUCUCUUUUGUUCUGAUUUUUUUAUAUAUAUAUAAAAAGAAACACUGUCUAGCGAUUUUCUAAAUAUUUGUUCUUCAAGAGAACCAGGUAUUCUCCUGCUUUUUUUUUAAACGACAGUUGUUUAUGAGCAACACACAUACAAGUUGUUUGGUAUCAUGCUCAUGGGGCUUUGAUAACUAAAUCAAGCACAUUGGUAAAAGUUAUAGAAAAAAAAAACUGCUGCAAUUUAGAUGUUCAUUACUAGCAGAUUAAAUGGUUAAAAUAACUCUCAACAACGUUAAGGAUGCAUAUGAGAAAAGCAGAGAGAUUUUCAAAUGAUAUCACAACUUAACUCUGAGAGAGACUGUUUUAGCAGGUCAGUUUUCUUUCAACAUGCCACAAACUUGAAAAUACUAAGGAAAAUUGAAAAACUGACAGAAAAGACUAGCUUAUAUUAACACCUGUUUUGGCUAGUCACUUGCUUACCUUUCUUUCUGAUGACAUCAUUGAUUGACCCAAUUAAGCCCUGUUUCCAUGGCACUUGCUCGCUAUUUUAUUUCAGAAAUGGUACAAGGCUAUAAGCAAUCUAGAUGUGUCUUAUGGUUUCAGAAAAGAAGUUAGGGACCCUGAUUCCAGAAUCUGCAACUCAACAUGAUUAUAAACUCUUAUUCUAGUUUCCCUGUAGUAUUUUAGUUGAAAAGGGAAAGUUGGAGAUAAUGAGGAACCAUGUUUUGGGUAGAUUUAUAUAGUCAAUUAACAGUUACCUUGACGGUCUAAAAUAAAGUCUAAUGCUUUUGAAAUGCUAGCAAAUGCAUGUGAAAUCUGAUCCCUCUACUUUUGCUUUUCCUCCU
Molecule: long non-coding RNA, 40626 nt
Filed under: Populus tremula
Lineage: Eukaryota; Viridiplantae; Streptophyta; Magnoliopsida; Malpighiales; Salicaceae
Description: long non-coding RNA (PTRE_LNC002897)
Source: RNAcentral